Molecule: ribosomal RNA, 497 nt
Filed under: uncultured bacterium
Lineage: Bacteria
Description: partial 16S ribosomal RNA
Rfam family: Bacterial small subunit ribosomal RNA
Source: RNAcentral
GAUGAACGCUGGCGGCGUGCCUAAUACAUGCAAGUCGAGCGAACAGACGAGGAGCUUGCUCCUCUGACGUUAGCGGCGGACGGGUGAGUAACACGUGGAUAACCUACCUAUAAGACUGGGAUAACUUCGGGAAACCGGAGCUAAUACCGGAUAAUAUAUUGAACCGCAUGGUUCAAUAGUGAAAGACGGUUUUGCUGUCACUUAUAGAUGGAUCCGCGCCGCAUUAGCUAGUUGGUAAGGUAACGGCUUACCAAGGCAACGAUGCGUAGCCGACCUGAGAGGGUGAUCGGCCACACUGGAACUGAGACACGGUCCAGACUCCUACGGGAGGCAGCAGUAGGGAAUAUUCCGCAAUGGGCGAAAGCCUGACGGAGCAACGCCGCGUGAAUGAUGAAGGUCUUCGGAUCGUAAAACUCUGUUAUUAGGGAAGAACAAAUGUGUAAGUAACUAUGCACGUCUUGACGGUACCUAAUCAGAAAGCCACGGCUAACUACGUG